GCACUAGGCAAUACGCGUAUGAGAUGUUGGUACGCGUAUGGGGGGAAGCCUUACGCGUAUGGGAGAAAAAGAUGACAUUUUGAACGUAAAUUGGUCUCUGUUGGUACGCGUAAUGGGAGAUUGUUACGCGUAGCAUACGCGUAUGAGACAGGUGAUACGCGUAUGAGUUGGGCGAGGAAAUGCGCAAUACGCGUAAGAGAGUAGGCAUUACGCGUAUGGAGUUGGCCAGGUUUGGGCAAUACGCGUAUGGCAUGGACAGUACGCGUAUGGGCAGAGUUGUGAUUUUCCUGAACUGUUGUUGUGCAGUUUUUGGUUGUUUAGGCUGAGUGAUGUACUUAGCUGAGGUAUGAUGUUG
This 355-nucleotide long non-coding RNA is filed under the name Lathyrus oleraceus (garden pea). RNAcentral describes it as "Pisum sativum (pea) long non-coding RNA (PSAT_LNC030807)". The record is from RNAcentral. Lineage: Eukaryota; Viridiplantae; Streptophyta; Magnoliopsida; Fabales; Fabaceae.